CACUGCUUUCCUCAAUCUGGCUGCACUUCCCUGGCCCCACUCCAGUUUCUCUACAUUUUUUUUAAAUCCUGGACCUUAGCUGGACACAGGCCCCCAGUGGUACCCUGAUCCAGCUAAGCCUGGCCAGAAGGCCUCCUUCUGGAUCCUACCUGUUUCAUUUCUGCUAAACAUGCUCCAAGUAUCACGUCCCCUUUUUGUAAUAAGAGAAGAGAGGGCCCUAACUCACUGGCAGCUGGUGACUCAGCAUGACUCGUGGAUUCCUCAGCAAUGGCUUUUUCCAAGCCCACAUCAGGUUCCCCAUUGGUCACCAGGGAGACAGACCCAGGAUCACAGCCUGUGAACAGAUCUACUGAGCAGGAGGUUAACUAGAAGAGGAAGGGUCAGGUCUAGGACGUAAGAUUCUAAUUCUGAAGUUGAAAAGUUCUUUGAUUCUAUGGGAGCAAUUAUGGAAUUUCUGCUGUGACUCUCAAGCAAUCAUAAAAGUUACGCAAGAAGUUUGUAACCAACUUUGAAUUGCAUCAUUUUCACUAACUCUGAGAUCAGAAUAUGGCAUCCUUCACUGAAUGGAAAUUUCUUAAGCAGGCUCCAUUCCUCUCCCCCAUUUCUCCACCCCUCCCCUUUCUGUGCUACUACCACCUAGGUGUUUAAAGUGGUGAUCAUUUCUGGAUGAGGUCUUACUGGAGAGGGCAGAGAGUGUCUUUUUAAUGGGGGAAAACUGAAAGGUGGGGCACAGACACAUGGCUAACCCCUUGCCUUCAUUUGAUUGUAAUAAGUGAAUUUUCUGUCAUAAAUGUAGUAUAAUCACA
This 806-nucleotide long non-coding RNA is filed under the name Phascolarctos cinereus (koala). RNAcentral's name for it is "lncRNA (ENSPCIG00000030382.2)". Lineage: Eukaryota; Metazoa; Chordata; Mammalia; Diprotodontia; Phascolarctidae. The record is from RNAcentral.